AGUGAACGCUGGCGGUAGGCCUAACACAUGCAAGUCGAACGGCAGCACAGGAGAGCUUGCUCUCUGGGUGGCGAGUGGCGGACGGGUGAGGAAUACAUCGGAAUCUACUCUGUCGUGGGGGAUAACGUAGGGAAACUUACGCUAAUACCGCAUACGACCUAUGGGUGAAAGCAGGGGACCUUCGGGCCUUGCGCGAUUGAAUGAGCCGAUGUCGGAUUAGCUAGUUGGCGGGGUAAAGGCCCACCAAGGCGACGAUCCGUAGCUGGUCUGAGAGGAUGAUCAGCCACACUGGAACUGAGACACGGUCCAGACUCCUACGGGAGGCAGCAGUGGGGAAUAUUGGACAAUGGGCGCAAGCCUGAUCCAGCCAUACCGCGUGGGUGAAGAAGGCCUUCGGGUUGUAAAGCCCUUUUGUUGGGAAAGAAAUCCAGCUGGCUAAUACCCGGUUGGGAUGAUGGUACCCAAAGAAUAAGCACCGGCUAACUUCGUGCCAGCAGCCGCCGUAA
This 506-nucleotide ribosomal RNA is filed under the name uncultured bacterium. RNAcentral describes it as "partial 16S ribosomal RNA". It matches the Rfam family "Bacterial small subunit ribosomal RNA", at positions 29 to 523 of the family's 1533-position model. The record is from RNAcentral.